Molecule: ribosomal RNA, 86 nt
Filed under: Guyparkeria sp. SCN-R1
Lineage: Bacteria; Pseudomonadati; Pseudomonadota; Gammaproteobacteria; Chromatiales; Thioalkalibacteraceae
Source: RNAcentral
GUUCCCAUCCCGAACACAGCAGUGAAACGCCGCAUCGCCGAUGAUAGUGUGGGGCCUCCCCAUGUGAAAGUAGGUCAACGCCAGGC